UAAUGCCCCAGUUUGACUGUUGCUGGGUUCUUGAGACGCAGCUGAAUGAUCUGCUUUUCAUUGCUCAAGUGCUCGGGUAAUCUCAUCAGGAAUCCCCUUCAACAUCAUCUUCCUCCGCCUCGAAUACAAGGAAUUCAAAUUUGGGAGAUGGCGUUGGAUCAUUAUGUUCAAUGGGUUUAGAAAUCCCUGCAUAAUGAUUUUG
RNAcentral lists this long non-coding RNA (202 nucleotides) under Lathyrus oleraceus (garden pea). RNAcentral describes it as "Pisum sativum (pea) long non-coding RNA (PSAT_LNC040084)". The record is from RNAcentral. Lineage: Eukaryota; Viridiplantae; Streptophyta; Magnoliopsida; Fabales; Fabaceae.